GGGCGUUAAGUUGCAGGGUAUAGACCCGAAACCCGGUGAUCUAGCCAUGGGCAGGUUGAAGGUUGGGUAACACUAACUGGAGGACCGAACCGACUAAUGUUGAAAAAUUAGCGGAUGACCUGUGGCUGGGGGUGAAAGGCCAAUCAAACCGGGAGAUAGCUGGUUCUCCCCGAAAGCUAUUUAGGUAGCGCCUCGUGAACUCAUCUCCGGGGGUAGAGCACUGUUUCGGCUAGGGGGCCAUCCCGGCUUACCAACCCGAUGCAAACUGCGAAUACCGGAGAAUGUUAUCACGGGAGACACACGGCGGGUGCUAACGUCCGUCGUGAAGAGGGAAACAACCCAGACCGCCAGCUAAGGUCCCAAAGUCAUGGUUAAGUGGGAAACGAUGUGGGAAGGCCCAGACAGCCAGGAUGUUGGCUUAGAAGCAGCCAUCAUUUAAAGAAAGCGUAAUAGCUCACUGGUCGAGUCGGCCUGCGCGGAAGAUGUAACGGGGCUAAACCAUGCACCGAAGCUGCGGCAGCGAC
RNAcentral lists this ribosomal RNA (524 nucleotides) under Cronobacter sakazakii. RNAcentral's name for it is "partial 23S ribosomal RNA". It matches the Rfam family "Bacterial large subunit ribosomal RNA", at positions 690 to 1212 of the family's 2925-position model. The record is from RNAcentral. Lineage: Bacteria; Pseudomonadati; Pseudomonadota; Gammaproteobacteria; Enterobacterales; Enterobacteriaceae. RNAcentral also lists the same sequence under 1 other name.